GACGAACGCUGGCGGCAUGCCUUACACAUGCAAGUCGAACGGUAACAGGUCUUCGGAUGCUGACGAGUGGCGAACGGGUGAGUAAUACAUCGGAACGUGCCCGAUCGUGGGGGAUAACGGAGCGAAAGCUUUGCUAAUACCGCAUACGAUCUACGGAUGAAAGCAGGGGACCGCAAGGCCUUGCGCGGACGGAGCGGCCGAUGGCAGAUUAGGUAGUUGGUGGGAUAAAAGCUUACCAAGCCGACGAUCUGUAGCUGGUCUGAGAGGACGACCAGCCACACUGGGACUGAGACACGGCCCAGACUCCUACGGGAGGCAGCAGUGGGGAAUUUUGGACAAUGGGCGCAAGCCUGAUCCAGCCAUGCCGCGUGCAGGAUGAAGGCCUUCGGGUUGUAAACUGCUUUUGUACGGAACGAAAAGACUCUUUCUAAUAAAGAGGGUCCAUGACGGUACCGUAAGAAUAAGCACCGGCUAACUACGUG
RNAcentral lists this ribosomal RNA (482 nucleotides) under uncultured bacterium. RNAcentral describes it as "bacterial SSU rRNA". It matches the Rfam family "Bacterial small subunit ribosomal RNA", at positions 28 to 507 of the family's 1533-position model. The record is from RNAcentral.